This 467-nucleotide ribosomal RNA is filed under the name uncultured bacterium. RNAcentral's name for it is "partial 16S ribosomal RNA". It matches the Rfam family "Bacterial small subunit ribosomal RNA", at positions 28 to 507 of the family's 1533-position model. The record is from RNAcentral.
GACGAACGCUGGCGGCGUGCUUAACACAUGCGAGUCGAACGGAAAGGCCUCUUUCGGGGGGUACUCGAGUGGCGAACGGGUGAGUAACACGUGAGUAACCUGCCCUUGACUUUGGGAUAACUUCAGGAAACUGGGGCUAAUACCGGAUAGGAGCUCCUGCUGCAUGGUGGGGAUUGGAAAGUUUCGGCGGUUGGGGAUGGACUCGCGGCUUAUCAGCUUGUUGGUGGGGUAGUGGCUUACCAAGGCUUUGACGGGUAGCCGGCCUGAGAGGGUGACCGGCCACAUUGGGACUGAGAUACGGCCCAGACUCCUACGGGAGGCAGCAGUGGGGAAUAUUGCACAAUGGGUGGAAGCCUGAUGCAGCAACGCCGUGUGCGGGAUGACGGCCUUCGGGUUGUAAACCGCUUUCGCUCAUGACGAAGCUUUGUGUGACGGUAGUGGGUAAAGAAGCACCGGCUAACUACGUG